CCUACGGGAGGCAGCAGUAGGGAAUCUUUCACAAUGGGCGAAAGCCUGAUGGAGCAACGCCGCGUGCAGGAUGAAGGCCUUCGGGUUGUAAACUGCUUUUAUAAGCGAGAAAUAUGAUGGUAACUUAUGAAUAAGGAUCGGCUAACUACGUGCCAGCAGCCGCGGUCAUACGUAGGAUCCGAGCAUUAUCCGGAGUGACUGGGUGUAAAGAGUUGCGUAGGUGACAUAAUAAGUAGCUAGUGAAAUCUGGUGGCUCAACCAUUCAGACUAUUAGCUAAACUGUUAAGCUCGAGACCGUUAGGGGUAACUGGAAUUUCUAGUGUAGGAGUGAAAUCCGUAGAUAUUAGAAGGAACACCAAUAGCGUAGGCAGGUUGCUGGGACGGUUCUGACACUAAGGCACGAAAGCGUAGGGAGCAAACGGGAUUAGAUACCCCAGUAGUC
This 442-nucleotide ribosomal RNA is filed under the name uncultured bacterium. RNAcentral describes it as "partial 16S ribosomal RNA". It matches the Rfam family "Bacterial small subunit ribosomal RNA", at positions 338 to 795 of the family's 1533-position model. The record is from RNAcentral.